RNAcentral lists this ribosomal RNA (776 nucleotides) under Streptomyces mirabilis. RNAcentral describes it as "bacterial SSU rRNA". It matches the Rfam family "Bacterial small subunit ribosomal RNA", at positions 29 to 822 of the family's 1533-position model. Lineage: Bacteria; Bacillati; Actinomycetota; Actinomycetes; Kitasatosporales; Streptomycetaceae. The record is from RNAcentral.
ACGAACGCUGGCGGCGUGCUUAACACAUGCAAGUCGAACGAUGAAGCCUUUCGGGGUGGAUUAGUGGCGAACGGGUGAGUAACACGUGGGCAAUCUGCCCUUCACUCUGGGACAAGCCCUGGAAACGGGGUCUAAUACCGGAUAACACUCCUGCCUGCAUGGGUGGGGGUUAAAAGCUCCGGCGGUGAAGGAUGAGCCCGCGGCCUAUCAGCUUGUUGGUGAGGUAGUGGCUCACCAAGGCGACGACGGGUAGCCGGCCUGAGAGGGCGACCGGCCACACUGGGACUGAGACACGGCCCAGACUCCUACGGGAGGCAGCAGUGGGGAAUAUUGCACAAUGGGCGAAAGCCUGAUGCAGCGACGCCGCGUGAGGGAUGACGGCCUUCGGGUUGUAAACCUCUUUCAGCAGGGAAGAAGCGAAAGUGACGGUACCUGCAGAAGAAGCGCCGGCUAACUACGUGCCAGCAGCCGCGGUAAUACGUAGGGCGCAAGCGUUGUCCGGAAUUAUUGGGCGUAAAGAGCUCGUAGGCGGCUUGUCACGUCGGUUGUGAAAGCCCGGGGCUUAACCCCGGGUCUGCAGUCGAUACGGGCAGGCUAGAGUGUGGUAGGGGAGAUCGGAAUUCCUGGUGUAGCGGUGAAAUGCGCAGAUAUCAGGAGGAACACCGGUGGCGAAGGCGGAUCUCUGGGCCAUUACUGACGCUGAGGAGCGAAAGCGUGGGGAGCGAACAGGAUUAGAUACCCUGGUAGUCCACGCCGUAAACGGUGGGAACUAGGUG